This is a long non-coding RNA of Nematostella vectensis (starlet sea anemone), 1137 nucleotides long. RefSeq lists it as uncharacterized. The record is from RefSeq and is a predicted model, not a curated record. The transcript has 2 exons. NCBI's taxonomy places the organism in Eukaryota, Metazoa, Cnidaria, Anthozoa, Actiniaria, Edwardsiidae.
CAGGUUUUUAAAGUUUUGCUAAGGUGUUGUGGGCCCACUCUUCUGGUUUAAAUAUACUGACAAUUUAAACAAUAGCUUCCAUUCCUAUCUGGUUUUGUAGCAGCCAGCUGAUUACCUAUUGUUUGCACACUACCCUAUAAAUACCACUCCCCACCCAACCUCAGUUUCAUUUGCUAGGACAAAGGGCUUGAAAUAUCAGUGAAUCUACUCUGUUUCACAGAGGUGUACAGCAGAUGUUUCAACCUUGUGUUAAUUUAUAUCUUGUCUACACCUAGCCUACACAGACCUCCUAGUUAUAAUAGCGGAGCCAGCGCGGCCGUAGGCCAUGCGCGGAGCCCCAUAGGUAUAGAAAUGGUCUAUAACUAGGCGAAUCAGUUUUUGUGGUCAAUGACGUCAUUGUCACAAGCUGCCAUCCAUCCAGCCAGCCAGCCGCGAUCUGCCUCGGCACAGGCCUCAGAGCGAGCAAAACAAUAUGGCAGAUGUGUAUUUCUGCCCCUCUCAAAAACACACGAAAACUGACUGCAGAAAAGCCAAGAAUUGACGAAAAAGAAGUGCUUGAAAACAAUCAUUCGUGGGAAUGCUAACCACCGAUAUGAACUUGUCUAAUUAUGUGCAAAAGACUGUGAAAAAGCAUGGUUGAAAGUUUUGAAGAGUCAAGUCUUGUGCUCGAGUCAAGGUCAGCUGAAAUGUCAGAGUUAGCCACAAGAUAAAGAAAGAAAAAACAAGCAAAUUUUAUAGACACAUUCUCCGACAAGUGCUCCUAUGUAUUUGUUUUUGCACUGGCAGACGUAGGUUAAUCUCAGCCAGAGAUUCUGAAAUCAAGCUGAGACACAAGCUGCUGGCUAAUAGGCAUGACCCAGGGCAGGAUGUACAUAUAAGGCAUUGGUAUUUAAUGUAGGUCACCAAAAAUAAACACAUAUAAAGUAACAAAAAGUAAGAUAAUAUUUUAAUGGAAAAAUUGUUCUAAAAAACGAACCAGGGUUAUAAAAGUAAAAAACCUAGUUUUUUUCCAAGUUAGCCUGACAGGUUCUUGUAUGAUGUGUGGUUAGUGACAUUUAGGCUAUUUAGGUUCAUAAAUAGUCUCUUGCUAUUACAAUGACUCAUGGUAAAGUAAUUGAGGUAGUAAGUUAAUCAUAA